Molecule: ribosomal RNA, 254 nt
Filed under: uncultured bacterium
Lineage: Bacteria
Description: partial 16S ribosomal RNA
Rfam family: Bacterial small subunit ribosomal RNA
Source: RNAcentral
UACGUAGGGUGCAAGCGUUAUCCGGAAUUAUUGGGCGUAAAGAGCUCGUAGGCGGUUUGUCGCGUCUGCUGUGAAAACUGGAGGCUCAACCUCCAGCCUGCAGUGGGUACGGGCAGACUAGAGUGCGGUAGGGGAGAUUGGAAUUCCUGGUGUAGCGGUGGAAUGCGCAGAUAUCAGGAGGAACACCGAUGGCGAAGGCAGAUCUCUGGGCCGUAACUGACGCUAAGGAGCGAAAGCAUGGGGAGCGAACAGGG